RNAcentral lists this ribosomal RNA (253 nucleotides) under uncultured bacterium. RNAcentral describes it as "partial 16S ribosomal RNA". It matches the Rfam family "Bacterial small subunit ribosomal RNA", at positions 524 to 776 of the family's 1533-position model. The record is from RNAcentral.
UACGGAGGGUGCAAGCGUUAUCCGGAUUCACUGGGUUUAAAGGGUGUGUAGGCGGACUUUUAAGUCAGUGGUGAAAUCUCAAGGCUCAACCUUGAAACUGCCAUUGAUACUAUUAGUCUUGAAUCUUGUUGAGGUGGGCGGAAUAUGUCAUGUAGCGGUGAAAUGCUUAGAUAUGACAUAGAACACCAAUUGCGAAGGCAGCUUACUAAGCUGUAACUGACGCUGAGGCACGAAAGUGUGGGGAUCAAACAGG